Molecule: unclassified non-coding RNA, 207 nt
Filed under: Hevea brasiliensis (rubber tree)
Lineage: Eukaryota; Viridiplantae; Streptophyta; Magnoliopsida; Malpighiales; Euphorbiaceae
Source: RNAcentral
AUUUAAGUAGCAACAGGGGUGGUAAAAGGUUAAGGCAGGAUGAAUCGGAGAUAAUGGCAGAGAAUGGGAAGGAAGAGAACAAGAAGGCAACAGCUCUUAGUUUAACAGAAAAGGAUAGAGAAAAAAGAAAGGAACUGACUUCGAGUUUGACAGAAGAUGAAGAUGAAGACGAAGGUGAAGGUGAAGGUGAAGAUGAAAAUGAUGAAG